UACGUAGGUGGCAAGCGUUGUCCGGAAUUAUUGGGCGUAAAGCGCGCGCAGGCGGCCUUUUAAGUCUGAUGUGAAAGCCCACGGCUCAACCGUGGAAGGUCAUUGGAAACUGAAAGGCUUGAGUACAGAAGAGGAAAGCGGAAUUCCACGUGGUAGCGGUGAAAUGCGUAGAUAUCGGGAGGAACACCUGUGGCGAAAGCGGCGCACUGGACCAUAACUGACGCUGAUGCGCGAAAGCUAGGGGAGCAAACAGG
This 254-nucleotide ribosomal RNA is filed under the name uncultured bacterium. RNAcentral describes it as "partial 16S ribosomal RNA". It matches the Rfam family "Bacterial small subunit ribosomal RNA", at positions 524 to 776 of the family's 1533-position model. The record is from RNAcentral.